AUGCUGAUGAACACCUUGAAGAGGAUUGCUUUCACAUUUGAAGAACUUUUAACAGUCCAUUGUUUAUGGGAUUCUGAAAAAAGGUUUGUUCCAACAUCUAUCUUUGUCAUUGGGCUGAACACGGAAAAUCUAAGGGAACAUUAUAUUUAUAUCCUUGGUCGGAAGCUUGGGAGGACUGCAUACUUCUGCACUGAGAUAAGUACAUCUGAGCUGAAGGUUGUAGAGCUUGCAGGAAUUGUUGUCAGCGCUUUGCCUAUGUGCCAUUCACAAGAAUAUUUUAUAAGUAAAAAUAUUCUAGAGAAAUGA
RNAcentral lists this ribosomal RNA (306 nucleotides) under Triticum aestivum (bread wheat). Its description in RNAcentral is "partial small subunit ribosomal RNA". The record is from RNAcentral. Lineage: Eukaryota; Viridiplantae; Streptophyta; Magnoliopsida; Poales; Poaceae.